AGAGUUUGAUCCUGGCUCAGGAUGAACGCUAGCGGCAGGCUUAACACAUGCAAGUCGAGGGGCAUCGGGAGGGAAGCUUGCUUUCCUUGCCGGCGACCGGCGCACGGGUGAGUAACACGUAUGCAACCUGCCCUCUUCAGGGGGACAACCUUCCGAAAGGGAGGCUAAUCCCGCGUAUAUCGGUUUCGGGCAUCCGAGAUCGAGGAAAGAUUCAUCGGAAGAGGAUGGGCAUGCGGCGCAUUAGCUUGACGGCGGGGUAACGGCCCACCGUGGCGACGAUGCGUAGGGGUUCUGAGAGGAAGGUCCCCCACACUGGUACUGAGACACGGACCAGACUCCUACGGGAGGCAGCAGUGAGGAAUAUUGGUCAAUGGGAGAGAUCCUGAACCAGCCAAGCCGCGUGAGGGAAGACGGCCCUAUGGGUUGUAAACCUCUUUUGUCGGAGAACAAAACCCGGGACGUGUCCCGGACUGCGUGUAUCCGAAGAAAAAGCAUCAGCUAACUCCGUG
RNAcentral lists this ribosomal RNA (509 nucleotides) under uncultured Bacteroidales bacterium. RNAcentral describes it as "bacterial SSU rRNA". It matches the Rfam family "Bacterial small subunit ribosomal RNA", at positions 8 to 507 of the family's 1533-position model. The record is from RNAcentral. Lineage: Bacteria; Pseudomonadati; Bacteroidota; Bacteroidia; Bacteroidales.